GAUGAAGAACGCAGUGAAAUGCGAUAAUUAAUGUGAAUUGCAGAAUUCAGUGAAUCAUCGAGUCUUUGAACGCACAUUGCGCCCCCUGGUAUUCCGGGGGGCAUGCCUGUCCGAGCGUCAUUGCUGCCCUCAAGCACGGCUUGUGUGUUGGGCUUCCGUCCCUGGCAACGGGGACGGGCCCAAAAGGCAGUGGCGGCACCAUGUCUGGUCCUCGAGCGUAUGGGGCUUUGUCACCCGCUCCCGUAGGUCCAGCUGGCAGCUAGCCUCGCAACCAAUCUUUUUAACCAGGUUGACCUCGGACCAGGUAGGGAUACCCGCUGAACUUAAGCAUAUCAAUAAGCGGAGGA
This 347-nucleotide unclassified non-coding RNA is filed under the name soil metagenome. RNAcentral describes it as "partial contains 5.8S ribosomal RNA, internal transcribed spacer 2, and large subunit ribosomal RNA". The stretch from base 1 to 120 matches the Rfam family "5.8S ribosomal RNA", at positions 35 to 154 of the family's 154-position model. The record is from RNAcentral.